UACGUAGGGGGCAAGCGUUGUUCGGAAUUACUGGGCGUAAAGGGCUCGUAGGCGGCCAACUAAGUCAGACGUGAAAUCCCUCGGCUUAACCGGGGAACUGCGUCUGAUACUGGAUGGCUUGAGAUUGGGAGAGGGAUGCGGAAUUCCAGGUGUAGCGGUGAAAUGCGUAGAUAUCUGGAGGAACACCGGUGGCGAAGGCGGCAUCCUGGACCAACACUGACGCUGAGGAGCGAAAGCCAGGGGAGCAAACGGG
This 253-nucleotide ribosomal RNA is filed under the name uncultured bacterium. RNAcentral describes it as "partial 16S ribosomal RNA". It matches the Rfam family "Bacterial small subunit ribosomal RNA", at positions 524 to 776 of the family's 1533-position model. The record is from RNAcentral.